UACAUAGGGACCGAGCGUUGUCCGGAAUUAUUGGGCGUAAAGAGCGUGUAGGCGGCCAGUCAGGUCCGUUGUGAAAACUCGAGGCUCAACCUCGAGACGCCGAUGGAAACCGACUGGCUAGAGUCCGGAAGAGGAGAGUGGAAUUCCCGGUGUAGCGGUGAAAUGCGCAGAUAUCGGGAAGAACACCCGUGGCGAAGGCGGCUCUCUAGUACGGUACUGACGCUGAGACGCGAAAGCGUGGGGAGCGAACAGG
RNAcentral lists this ribosomal RNA (253 nucleotides) under uncultured bacterium. Its description in RNAcentral is "partial 16S ribosomal RNA". It matches the Rfam family "Bacterial small subunit ribosomal RNA", at positions 524 to 776 of the family's 1533-position model. The record is from RNAcentral.